RNAcentral lists this ribosomal RNA (252 nucleotides) under uncultured bacterium. Its description in RNAcentral is "partial 16S ribosomal RNA". It matches the Rfam family "Bacterial small subunit ribosomal RNA", at positions 524 to 776 of the family's 1533-position model. The record is from RNAcentral.
UACGUAGGGUGCAAGCGUUAUCCGGAUUUAUUGGGUGUAAAGGGUGCGUAGACGGGAUAUUAAGUUAGUUGUAAAUCCCUCGGCUUAACUGAGGAACUGCAACUAAAACUGGUAUUCUUGAGUGUUGGAGAGGAAAGUGGAAUUCCUAGUGUAGCGGUGAAAUGCGUAGAUAUUAGGAGGAACACCGGUGGCGAAGGCGACUUUCUGGACAAUAACUGACGUUGAGGCACGAAAGUGUGGGGAGCAAACAGG